GGGGUGACUGCGUACCUUUUGUAUAAUGGGUCAGCGACUUAUAUUCUGUAGCAAGGUUAACCGCAUAGGGGAGCCGAAGGGAAACCGAGUCUUAAUUGGGCGUUAAGUUGCAGGGUAUAGACCCGAAACCCGGUGAUCUAGCCAUGGGCAGGUUGAAGGUUGGGUAACACUAACUGGAGGACCGAACCGACUAAUGUUGAAAAAUUAGCGGAUGACCUGUGGCUGGGGGUGAAAGGCCAAUCAAACCGGGAGAUAGCUGGUUCUCCCCGAAAGCUAUUUAGGUAGCGCCUCGUGAAUUCAUCUCCGGGGGUAGAGCACUGUUUCGGCUAGGGGGCCAUCCCGGCUUACCAACCCGAUGCAAACUGCGAAUACCGGAGAAUGUUAUCACGGGAGACACACGGCGGGUGCUAACGUCCGUCGUGAAGAGGGAAACAACCCAGACCGCCAGCUAAGGUCCCAAAGUCAUGGUUAAGUGGGAAACGAUGUGGGAAGGCCCAGACAGCCAGGAUGUUGGCUUAGAAGCAGCCAUCAUUUAAAGAAAGCGUAAUAGCUCACUGGUCGAGUCGGCCUGCGCGGAAGAUGUAACGGGGCUAAACCAUGCACCGAAGCUGCGGCAGCGACACUUUAGUGUUGUUGGGUAGGGGAGCGUUCUGUAAGCCGUUGAAGGUGUGUCGUGAGGCAUGCUGGAGGUAUCAGAAGUGCGAAUGCUGACAUAAGUAACGAUAAAGCGGGUGAAAAGCCCGCUCGCCGGAAGACCAAGGGUUCCUGUCCAACGUUAAUCGGGGCAGGGUGAGUCGACCCCUAAGGCGAGGCCGAAAGGCGUAGUCGAUGGGAAACGGGUUAAUAUUCCCGUACUUGGUGUUACUGCGAAGGGGGGACGGAGAAGGCUAUGUUGGCCGGGCGACGGUAGUCCCGGUUUAAGCGUGUAGGCUGGUUUUCCAGGCAAAUCCGGAAAAUCAAGGCUGAGGCGUGAUGACGAGGCACCACGGUGCUGAAGCAACAAAUGCCCUGCUUCCAGGAAAAGCCUCUAAGCAUCAGGUAACAUCAAAUCGUACCCCAAACCGACACAGGUGGUCAGGUAGAGAAUACCAAGGCGCUUGAGAGAACUCGGGUGAAGGAACUAGGCAAAAUGGUGCCGUAACUUCGGGAGAAGGCACGCUGACACGUAGGUGAAGUGAUUUACUCAUGGAGCUGAAGUCAGUCGAAGAUACCAGCUGGCUGCAACUGUUUAUUAAAAACACAGCACUGUGCAAACACGAAAGUGGACGUAUACGGUGUGACGCCUGCCCGGUGCCGGAAGGUUAAUUGAUGGGGUCAGCGCAAGCGAAGCUCCUGAUCGAAGCCCCGGUAAACGGCGGCCGUAACUAUAACGGUCCUAAGGUAGCGAAAUUCCUUGUCGGGUAAGUUCCGACCUGCACGAAUGGCGUAAUGAUGGCCAGGCUGUCUCCACCCGAGACUCAGUGAAAUUGAACUCGCUGUGAAGAUGCAGUGUACCCGCGGCAAGACGGAAAGACCCCGUGAACCUUUACUAUAGCUUGACACUGAACAUUGAGCCUUGAUGUGUAGGAUAGGUGGGAGGCUUUGAAGCGUGGACGCCAGUCUGCGUGGAGCCGACCUUGAAAUACCACCCUUUAAUGUUUGAUGUUCUAACGUGGACCCGUAAUCCGGGUUGCGGACAGUGUCUGGUGGGUAGUUUGACUGGGGCGGUCUCCUCCUAAAGAGUAACGGAGGAGCACGAAGGUUGGCUAAUCCUGGUCGGACAUCAGGAGGUUAGUGCAAUGGCAUAAGCCAGCUUGACUGCGAGCGUGACGGCGCGAGCAGGUGCGAAAGCAGGUCAUAGUGAUCCGGUGGUUCUGAAUGGAAGGGCCAUCGCUCAACGGAUAAAAGGUACUCCGGGGAUAACAGGCUGAUACCGCCCAAGAGUUCAUAUCGACGGCGGUGUUUGGCACCUCGAUGUCGGCUCAUCACAUCCUGGGGCUGAAGUAGGUCCCAAGGGUAUGGCUGUUCGCCAUUUAAAGUGGUACGCGAGCUGGGUUUAGAACGUCGUGAGACAGUUCGGUCCCUAUCUGCCGUGGGCGCUGGAAGACUGAGGGGGGCUGCUCCUAGUACGAGAGGACCGGAGUGGACGCAUCACUGGUGUUCGGGUUGUCAUGCCAAUGGCACUGCCCGGUAGCUAAAUGCGGAAAAGAUAAGUGCUGAAAGCAUCUAAGCACGAAACUUGCCCCGAGAUGAGUCUUCCCUGAGACUUUGAGUCUCCUGAAGGAACGUUAAAGACGAUGACGUUGAUAGGCCGGGUGUGUAAGCGCAGCGAUGCGUUGAGCUAACCGGUACUAAUGAACCGUGAGGCUUAACCUUACAACGCCGAAGCUGUU
RNAcentral lists this ribosomal RNA (2372 nucleotides) under Salmonella enterica. RNAcentral describes it as "partial 23S ribosomal RNA". It matches the Rfam family "Bacterial large subunit ribosomal RNA", at positions 590 to 2925 of the family's 2925-position model. The record is from RNAcentral. Lineage: Bacteria; Pseudomonadati; Pseudomonadota; Gammaproteobacteria; Enterobacterales; Enterobacteriaceae.